GAUGAAGAACGCAGCGAAAUGCGAUAAGUAGUGUGAAUUGCAGAAUUCAGUGAAUCAUCGAAUCUUUGAACGCACCUUGCGCCCUUUGGCUAUUCCGAAGGGCAUGCCUGUUUGAGUAUCAUGAACACCUCAACUCUCAUGGUUUUUCCAUGAUGGGCUUGGACUUUGGGGGUCUUGCUGGCCUAUAGUCAGCUCCUCUUAAAUGAAUCAGCUUGCCAGUGUUUGGUGGCAUCACAGGUGUGAUCUAUCUACGCUUGUGGUUUUCCAUCAAGUCACCUUCAGCGAUGGAGGUUCGCUGGGGCUCAUAAGAAGGCCUCUCCUCGGUGAGGAUGGCUCCUUUGAACGUUUGAUCUCAAAUCAGGUAGGACUACCCGCUGAACUUAAGCAUAUCAAUAAGCGGAGGA
This 404-nucleotide unclassified non-coding RNA is filed under the name soil metagenome. RNAcentral's name for it is "partial contains 5.8S ribosomal RNA, internal transcribed spacer 2, and large subunit ribosomal RNA". The stretch from base 1 to 121 matches the Rfam family "5.8S ribosomal RNA", at positions 35 to 154 of the family's 154-position model. The record is from RNAcentral.